UGGGGAAUAUUGGACAAUGGGCGAAAGCCUGAUCCAGCCAUGCCGCGUGUGUGAAGAAGGUCUUCGGAUUGUAAAGCACUUUAAGUUGGGAGGAAGGGUUGUAGAUUAAUACUCUGCAAUUUUGACGUUACCGACAGAAUAAGCACCGGCUAACUCUGUGCCAGCAGCCGCGGUAAUACAGAGGGUGCAAGCGUUAAUAGGAAUUACUGGGCGUAAAGCGCGCGUAGGUGGUUAGUUAAGUUGGAUGUGAAAUCCCCGGGCUCAACCUGGGAACUGCAUUCAAAACUGACUGACUAGAGUAUGGUAGAGGGUGGUGGAAUUUCCUGUGUAGCGGUGAAAUGCGUAGAUAUAGGAAGGAACACCAGUGGCGAAGGCGACCACCUGGACUGAUACUGACACUGAGGUGCGAAAGCGUGGGGAGCAAACA
Molecule: ribosomal RNA, 427 nt
Filed under: uncultured bacterium
Lineage: Bacteria
Description: partial 16S ribosomal RNA
Rfam family: Bacterial small subunit ribosomal RNA
Source: RNAcentral